This is a long non-coding RNA of Bombus terrestris (buff-tailed bumblebee), 562 nucleotides long. RefSeq lists it as uncharacterized. The record is from RefSeq and is a predicted model, not a curated record. Lineage: Eukaryota; Metazoa; Arthropoda; Insecta; Hymenoptera; Apidae. The transcript is spliced from 2 exons.
ACCAGUACGCUGUACCGUUCGAUUUUCUUGGCGAAAUCGUCCGUCCGCAUGCUGCGCAUACCAGUCGCGAUAAACGCGCCGGUGAAACGCGAUUCCGCUCGAACGUUCCCCGCGCAUUAAUGGUACGUCGCGUUAAGAGCUUCGAGAAGAAGAAAAAAGGAUCUUUCUAUCCCCUCUUACGAUCAAUUGCAUAACAACGAUUGCCAUAAAAUAUUUGACAUGUAAUUGUGUUAUAAAAAGAAUUAUUCCGGAAGAAGGAGAGAGAAUUUACCUCGAGGAAAAUAGAGUAAGAAAACUUGUAUCUACAUAUUGUACGUGAUAUGUAAAACAUGUUGGAAUUUCAUUGUCACCGUAACAAAAUGCGUGGUGAUGUUGUGAUUAUAUUCGUAAAAUUUGAACCCAAUCUGAAAUUCUAAAAUUCACCAUUUCGUAUCUAUGACAUCUUCUUACUGCAAAUAAAUUUAUGCGAAUAAUUUGUUUCUUAGAAACUGAGCAUAGAUUGAAAUUUUCAAAUUAACAAAAAAUAAAGUUAUAGGAUGGGCGGGCUCCUAAGCGACCGAAA